GGAGUGGUGAUUCAGUGGUAGAAUUCUCGCCUUCCAUGCAAGAGACCUGGGUUCGAUUCCUGGCCAGUGCA
This 71-nucleotide transfer RNA is filed under the name Loxodonta africana (African savanna elephant). It matches the Rfam family "tRNA". From Rfam's summary of the family: Transfer RNA (tRNA) molecules are approximately 80 nucleotides in length. Their secondary structure includes four short double-helical elements and three loops (D, anti-codon, and T loops). The record is from Rfam by way of RNAcentral. Lineage: Eukaryota; Metazoa; Chordata; Mammalia; Proboscidea; Elephantidae.